Molecule: transfer RNA, 89 nt
Filed under: Pseudoduganella albidiflava
Lineage: Bacteria; Pseudomonadati; Pseudomonadota; Betaproteobacteria; Burkholderiales; Oxalobacteraceae
Description: tRNA-Ala
Source: RNAcentral
GCAUCGCCUGGCGCGGUUGCGCUCGGCCGGGCCGGCGGGCGGCGUUCCGUCAGGUGUCUUGCGGUGCCGUGCGGGGCGGCACCGGCGCA